AAUAGAUACCCAGGUAGUCCACGCCGUAAACGAUGAGUGCUAAGUGUUAGAGGGUUUCCGCCCUUUAGUGCUGCAGCUAACGCAUUAAGCACUCCGCCUGGGGAGUACGGUCGCAAGACUGAAACUCAAAGGAAUUGACGGGGGCCCGCACAAGCGGUGGAGCAUGUGGUUUAAUUCGAAGCAACGCGAAGAACCUUACCAGGUCUUGACAUCCUCUGACAACUCUAGAGAUAGAGCGUUCCCCUUCGGGGGACAGAGUGACAGGUGGUGCAUGGUUGUCGUCAGCUCGUGUCGUGAGAUGUUGGGUUAAGUCCCGCAACGAGCGCAACCCUUGAUCUUAGUUGCCAGCAUUAAGUUGGGCACUCUAAGGUGACUGCCGGUGACAAACCGGAGGAAGGUGGGGAUGACGUCAAAUCAUCAUGCCCCUUAUGACCUGGGCUACACACGUGCUACAAUGGAUGGUACAAAGGGCUGCAAGACCGCGAGGUCAAGCCAAUCCCAUAAAACCCAUUCUCAGUUCGGAUUGU
This 527-nucleotide ribosomal RNA is filed under the name uncultured bacterium. RNAcentral describes it as "bacterial SSU rRNA". It matches the Rfam family "Bacterial small subunit ribosomal RNA", at positions 777 to 1301 of the family's 1533-position model. The record is from RNAcentral.